Molecule: ribosomal RNA, 254 nt
Filed under: uncultured bacterium
Lineage: Bacteria
Description: partial 16S ribosomal RNA
Rfam family: Bacterial small subunit ribosomal RNA
Source: RNAcentral
UACGAAGGGGGCUAGCGUUGUCCGGAUUUACUGGGCGUAAAGAGCGCGCAGGCGGUCGUUCAAGUCGCGUGUGAAAGCCCCCGGCUCAACUGGGGAGGGUCACGCGAUACUGAUCGACUCGAAGGCAGGAGAGGGUAGUGGAAUUCCCGGUGUAGUGGUGAAAUGCGUAGAUAUCGGGAGGAACACCAGUGGCGAAGGCGACUACCUGGCCUGUUCUUGACGCUGAGGCGCGAAAGCUAGGGGAGCAAACGGGG